CGAUGAAGCCCAGCUUGCUGGGUGGAUUAGUGGCGAACGGGUGAGUAACACGUGAGUAACCUGCCCUUGACUCUGGGAUAAGCCUGGGAAACUGGGUCUAAUACCGGAUAGGAACGUCCACCGCAUGGUGGGUGUUGGAAAGAUUUAUCGGUCAUGGAUGGACUCGCGGCCUAUCAGCUUGUUGGUGAGGUAAUGGCUCACCAAGGCGACGACGGGUAGCCGGCCUGAGAGGGUGACCGGCCACACUGGGACUGAGACACGGCCCAGACUCCUACGGGAGGCAGCAGUGGGGAAUAUUGCACAAUGGGCGAAAGCCUGAUGCAGCGACGCCGCGUGAGGGAUGACGGCCUUCGGGUUGUAAACCUCUUUCAGUAGGGAAGAAGCGAAAGUGACGGUACCUGCAGAAGAAGCACCGGCUAACUACGUGCCAGCAGCCGCGGUAAUACGUAGGGUGCGAGCGUUAUCCGGAAUUAUUGGGCGUAAAGAGCUCGUAGGCGGUUUGUCGCGUCUGUCGUGAAAGUCCGGGGCUUAACCCCGGAUCUGCGGUGGGUACGGGCAGACUAGAGUGCAGUAGGGGAGACUGGAAUUCCUGGUGUAGCGGUGGAAUGCGCAGAUAUCAGGAGGAACACCGAUGGCGAAGGCAGGUCUCUGGGCUGUAACUGACGCUGAGGAGCGAAAGCAUGGGGAGCGAACAGGAUUAGAUACCCUGGUAGUCCAUGCCGUAAACGUUGGGCACUAGGUGUGGGGACCAUUCCACGGUUUCCGCGCCGCAGCUAACGCAUUAAGUGCCCCGCCUGGGGAGUACGGCCGCAAGGCUAAAACUCAAAGGAAUUGACGGGGGCCCGCACAAGCGGCGGAGCAUGCGGAUUAAUUCGAUGCAACGCGAAGAACCUUACCAAGGCUUGACAUGUUCUCGAUCGCCGUAAAAGAUACGGUUUUCCCCUUUGGGGGCGGGAUCACAGGUGGUUGCAUGGGUUGUCCUCCGCCUCGUGUCCUGAAGAUGUUUGGGUUUAAGUCC
RNAcentral lists this ribosomal RNA (1018 nucleotides) under Micrococcus endophyticus. RNAcentral describes it as "bacterial SSU rRNA". It matches the Rfam family "Bacterial small subunit ribosomal RNA", at positions 67 to 1087 of the family's 1533-position model. The record is from RNAcentral. Lineage: Bacteria; Bacillati; Actinomycetota; Actinomycetes; Micrococcales; Micrococcaceae.